Molecule: long non-coding RNA, 1297 nt
Filed under: Citrus x clementina
Lineage: Eukaryota; Viridiplantae; Streptophyta; Magnoliopsida; Sapindales; Rutaceae
Description: Citrus clementina (C. clementina) long non-coding RNA (CCLE_LNC000460)
Source: RNAcentral
AUUUAUGUAGAUGAUUCAACAACCUAAAUUGUUAUUUAAAAUUCAGUUAAUUUAUUUUCAGUUUAUCUAUUUUAUUCUUGUAAUUUUCAUUCCACAAUUAAUUUAUAUGUUAUUAUAUAGCUGGUUCUAAAAUACCGUCUACAUCGUUAUAUUUUGUUAAUUGUUUCCUUUAAUUACUUUGUUUAUAUGGCUGGUUUAACCGCCUAAUAUUUUCAUUUCAGUUAAUUAAAUUUCAAUUUGUUUAUUUUUAUUUUGCAUUUAUUUAUUUUUAAUUUCUAUACAUUUAUUUGCUUAUUUAAUUUUUAGUUUGUUUUUAAUUGUGCAAUUUUCAUUUUGUAUUUUAUGCAUCACUCAUUUGUUUAACACACAUCAUUAGCAUUGCAUGCGAUGUUGGUCUCGUACAGACAGUAGCAAACUAAUUAAGAGAUUAUCUUCGCCACCCUUAGACAUGGCCGACAUUGGAGCUGAUAAUGUUUCAAAGCACAGAGAUAACAAAGCCUUAUAAAAUCUUCAUGAACAGCUGUUGGAUAUAAAUUCAAAUGCUAUUGGUGUCAAUGUGCAAGUGUACAAAACAAGUAAUAUAAUGAUGAGUAUUUAAGAUCGUCUCCAUGAGGAUUGAUGUUAUUGGAUUUGCUACAACAAUUUUAGUAGUGUAGAUUUUGUUCUAAAUUAAAAGAAAAUAAUUAAUGAAACUAAUAUACUAAUUAAAAUAAAAAUGCAAUAAAUAAAAUACAACAAAGUUAAUUAUGACGUCAAACUCAAGGAUAAAACCAAUGGAAAUAUAGAGUAGUUGAGUGAAUAAACUUUCUUAAUGGUUUUGACUAUUUUUCUAAUGUUUGGCUCGGUUGCUACAACAUCUGCUACAGCACUGGGUAGAAUCCUUAUGUAUCCUCAGCUGUCGCAUGUUGGAUAUCUUAUAUCUAUAUGCAACCUAAUAGCCACCAUAAGAUAUAACAUAGCACGCUUAAGUUCUAUUUACCCUACAAGGUGAAUCCAUAUAUUUAGUUCAUCACUGAUUUUAGAUUAAGCAUGACCCUUUUGGGAUCAAGUAAAACUCAAUCCAGGAAACCCAAUCUAAAACCAAGUAUAGCUCUGAUAUGUUCCACUAAGAUAGGCCUUUUUGUGGCUCUUCCUUAGCUAGUAUCAUUAAAUGGGUGAUCAACCAAAAUAAUGAAUAAAAAUAAAUAUUAUCAAAACAAAAUGCUACAGCAAAUAUGCAGCAACAUAUAAAUUCAGUCAAUAAACCAUAAGGAUUGUUUAUCACUCAACCGCAAAUAAAUUUAGUUAAUGAUUUGUA